GACACCCACAAACAUGACCGCUGGCGGGCGCAGGGGUUGCUCCUUUUUGCUGGUGUUUUACAUGCUGAUGGCCAACCAGGAAGACAGCCGGUGUGACGGUUCUGCGAUUGGCAGCUUUAAAAACGCAGGUUCCCAGGGAUUAAUUAUUUC
Pristis pectinata (smalltooth sawfish) is the source of this 150-nucleotide long non-coding RNA. RefSeq lists it as uncharacterized. The transcript has 3 exons. The record is from RefSeq and is a predicted model, not a curated record. NCBI's taxonomy places the organism in Eukaryota, Metazoa, Chordata, Chondrichthyes, Rhinopristiformes, Pristidae.